RNAcentral lists this non-coding RNA (28 nucleotides) under Mus musculus (house mouse). Lineage: Eukaryota; Metazoa; Chordata; Mammalia; Rodentia; Muridae. The record is from RNAcentral.
UAGUCCCCUACAAUGUUAUGAGCAUUAU